UAGUUCAAUAUGUGUAGUAAGUAGUGA
Molecule: non-coding RNA, 27 nt
Filed under: Bombyx mori (domestic silkworm)
Lineage: Eukaryota; Metazoa; Arthropoda; Insecta; Lepidoptera; Bombycidae
Source: RNAcentral